UCGGACGGGUGAGUAACGCGUGAGGAUCUGCCUUCAGGAGGGGGACAACAGUUGGAAACGACUGCUAAUACCCCAUAUGUCUAUGGAUGAAACGGUGAAUUCCGCCUGAAGAUGAACUCGCGUCGGAUUAGCUAGUUGGUGAGGUAAGGGCUCACCAAGGCGACGAUCCGUAGCUGGUCUGAGAGGAUGAUCAGCCACACUGGGACUGAGACACGGCCCAGACUCCUACGGGAGGCAGCAGUGGGGAAUUUUCCGCAAUGGGCGAAAGCCUGACGGAGCAACGCCGCGUGCGGGAUGACGGCCUGUGGGUUGUAAACCGCUUUUCUCAGGGAAGAAGAUCUGACGGUACCUGAGGAAUCAGCAUCGGCUAACUCCGUGCCAGCAGCCGCGGUAAUACGGAGGAUGCAAGCGUUAUCCGGAAUUAUUGGGCGUAAAGCGUCCGCAGGCGGCUUAUCAAGUCUGCUGUUAAAGGUCGGGGCUUAACUCCGGAUAGGCAGUGGAAACUGAUAGGCUAGAGUACGGUAGGGGUAGAGGGAAUUCCCAGUGUAGCGGUGAAAUGCGUAGAUAUUGGGAAGAACACCAGUGGCGAAGGCGCUCUACUGGCCGUAACCGACGC
RNAcentral lists this ribosomal RNA (616 nucleotides) under Synechococcales cyanobacterium LEGE 08404. Its description in RNAcentral is "bacterial SSU rRNA". It matches the Rfam family "Bacterial small subunit ribosomal RNA", at positions 98 to 746 of the family's 1533-position model. Lineage: Bacteria; Bacillati; Cyanobacteriota; Cyanophyceae; Synechococcales. The record is from RNAcentral.